GAAAGCCAUGUAUUAAUUAAAAAAAGAGAAGACUUUUGUCUUUAGGUUAUGUUUUUAAACAACGUAAACUUCAUAUUUACUUCUCAUUAAAAUAAUUUUUUUGUUAACUCAUUGGUAACUUCAAAAGAAAUUUCAAGUCAAGAAUAUCUAAUCGAGAACCGUGAUAAUACACACUGUUGGCAGUGCACCUAAAAAAUUGCUGAAUUCCCCAAUUUUGAGCAUCUAGAAAAUUGCAUCGGACAUUGUUUCAAAAGGAGUUCGUCAACGCUGUUGGCCAACGCUGGGGCUGAUAUCAAUGUUUUAAAACGGCAUGGUGGAUGGAAAAGUUCAUCAGUGGCUGAAAAAUAUGUGGAGGAAUCCGUAGAGAGCAAAAAGAAAAUAGCAAGAAUGAUAUUAGAGGUGAAAUUUCUGUACAAGUGUUAAACCAAAACCAUACAUCUCCAGCAUUAUUGAAAAUAAAGAAGUACAUCCAGUAAUUCCUCCAAUAAAUGUUUAUUUAAUUUACUACAUUUACUGUUUCAUUAUGUCUUGUACGAUUAAACAUUUUUCUCUGAUUGAACUGAAGUAGUAGAAAAGUCUGAUAAAAAAAAAGUUUCCCUAAACAUAAGUUUGUUUGAGAGAUCAGAAAAUGGACAUUGAAGUUUUACUUACCUUGGAAUUCUAUAAAUUUACUUGAUUUAUGAUGACAGUUGAAAAAAAACUCAUCAAUUUAUAAGUUAUUUAAUCAAAUGGAUCAUUUUGCUUAUUAAAAAAAAACACAUUUCAUUCAAUAUAAAAUUAAAACUUAAGAUUUAA
Molecule: long non-coding RNA, 795 nt
Organism: Diorhabda sublineata
Lineage: Eukaryota; Metazoa; Arthropoda; Insecta; Coleoptera; Chrysomelidae
Exons: 2
Source: RefSeq, a predicted model, not a curated record